ACCCCUCGCCUCCUCUGCCGCACCUCGCCCUUCUCUGUCGGACCUCGCCGCCGUCGAUCUCUGGUCCGCCGUCACCAUCUGGACCCCUCCCCACACCCCGCCAGCACGCCGCCAGACGCCCUCCUCGCCCACGCGCGGCGGCCUCUCUCAUCCCACGGCUGCGCUUGCCCCUGUCCUCGCCGGCGUCGCAGCCUCAGGACAGGUAGACCCCAACUCCAUCGCCUGCGGCAACAGAUUAUUGAAGCUCUUAUGAAGUGGCGAUUGACUAGAACCAGGGGCAAGCUGAGGAUUUGUCUGCUUGAACAAUAGAGAUUGCUUGGAUUAAGUGGGGGUGAAGAUGUUCUUGUUGUCUAUAUCUGAAAUGAAAAACCUGAUGAAGAUCCUUCCGAGGCGUCAGAUGUGCCUCUUCUCGCACUGAACAGGGCCAUCAGCAGAGCAAUCAAACAAGCGACACUGCAGUAGGAAAAACAAUGAUACAUGGCAAUCUCCCAGUGUGCGCGCCCAGUAUAAUGUGAAAAUGGUAGUAGCUUCUUGUUCUUCAGAAAGUAAAUGUAAACAUCUGUUGUAAGAUUUCAGCACAGGUAAAGGCAACAGCUGCUAGCUGCUCCACCAGAGGUGCAAAAACAAGCUUAAUCCUUUGCCGAAAACAAUUGUACCAAGCACUAAGGCAGGUGUGAAGCCAGUAGUCAAUGGGUCAUCUCCAUACUCCAGGUUCAGCACUAAUUACUAUAGAUUAGUAUGGUAUUGCCGAAAACAAUAGUACCAAGCACUAACACAAUCACCUGAGUAUAUUACAUGGGUAUAGCACUGAUUACUAUUUGAUUAGCAUCAAUUUCUACAGGUUUUGAAUGUAAGAUAUUCAAAGUCGGGCUGUAAUCUCAUUGGGUUCGUUGCUUAUCAUCAAUGGGGACUGCAUGUUUUCAACAGACCAUUUUUAUCCCAUAUCCAAUAGUUCAGAUGACAAAUAGACACUGCUUUACUCAAACUAUUUUGUAUGGGCGUGUUCCUUUAUUACGUUGGAACUUGGAAGCGGUAUGUUGGUGUUGAAUUUGUGACACUAAAAGUUGUACUACUUGCUAAUGAUACCAGGUGGUAUCUUGAGAAUGUGUUAUUUUCUUGAAAUAAUCACCAUUAUUUUGUCACUUGGUCUAUAUCUUAAAAGAUGGAGCACAUAUUGGCAUACACUAGAACAUAGUAACAGGCUUGCCGAUCAAAACAUCUGUUGUCGGCUUGUUCAUCUUGUAUAUUAGUUAAAACCAGAUGGACAGUGAGUCUGAAAUACAUAAUAGUUUUUUUCAUCGUUGCAAAAUAUUAUAUUGCUUUAAACAAUGUGUGUAUAUACAUUGUUUUACAUGGCUGCCAAACACUCCGUCCAAAUAAAACACAAUCAAUCUACGUAUUAUAUUGCAACCCCAAAAAAAUCGCUAGAUGUGCAUUUGAAGGUGGUAGAAAUCUUGGACCGGGGAGGAGGAGAUAAAUUGAUGAAGGAGAAAAAGAAGAAGAAAAUAAAUAAAUGAAACAAGAAUAAAAUGUAUAAAUUUGACAUGAUUAGUGUCGGACCACUAGAAUUUUAUGCUCCUUGUCCUUCUAAUUUUAUGCUCCCGUUGCAACGCACGGGCAAAUACCUAGUAGAUCUAAAAACAAGAGAUAUAGAUUAUACACCACAAAACAUUAUAGCUUGCACGAUCAAGACAAAACAAGUGACGAGGAGAAAACCCCCGAUGACCUCGCAUAUGCCUAUGCCGCCGUCGCCGGCGCCGUCGCAGAGUUGAUCGCCUCGCACCCUCAUCCGACCGUAGGAGCCUCCACCCUUGCAUAUGCAGUUCAGCAGCCUCUGUUUUGCCGCCGCCGCCGCCUCCGUGCAGUUCGUCUAGCUACCCUUGGCCGAUCUUCCGAUUCUCUUAUGCAUGCACUUCAACGGCUUUGCGUUUCAUGCACAGAUCGAAGGAGCACUCAUUGUCACACGUGCAUGCAUCAUCCUUGUAUCUCUAUGGAAAGGAGCUAGGUACGAAUCAAAAUAUUACUUGCCUGUUGCCGCUCGAGCAUGCAAGCUAUGAUUUUUCAGACCUGCACAUGUGCAUGCAUCAUCCUCAUGUACCUAGGAGAGCUAGGUACA
Long non-coding RNA from Triticum dicoccoides, 2116 nucleotides. RefSeq lists it as uncharacterized. The record is from RefSeq and is a predicted model, not a curated record. The transcript has 4 exons. NCBI's taxonomy places the organism in Eukaryota, Viridiplantae, Streptophyta, Magnoliopsida, Poales, Poaceae.